RNA transcript from Alexandromys fortis (reed vole), 1537 nucleotides. It is a transcript of the gene named mitochondrial ribosomal protein L40, with no coding region annotated. The transcript has 2 exons. Lineage: Eukaryota; Metazoa; Chordata; Mammalia; Rodentia; Cricetidae. The record is from RefSeq and is a predicted model, not a curated record.
CAGCACCAGGCCGGUACCCAGGCUGGCUCACAGAAGCCAGGCGCCAGGCACUCCAGACUAGGGGUGGGCGGCGCAGGACUCAGCGCCAUGCCUGGGGCGAAGGCGGACUUGGCCGCAACCAGCCCGAAGCACGUGCCCGGGCUCGCCGGUAUCUCGGAGCCGAGGACAAAGUCUGCUCCCGCCCGCUCUGCAGCUCCAGCACCCGGCACCGGCGUCCGGGCAAGGCAGGCAGGGCUUGCGCGCGCCGCAAGCCAACUCCAGACACCACCCCGAUGCAGGCUCGGCCGCCCACGACUCCAGCGCGCACUCACCAUUGUGGUUGACCCAGGUUGGCUUCAAGAGCUUCAUUGUUCGGCCGCCGCCGGGCUGAGGCCAGAACCGUGUCCCUCAGCGCGCCUGGGCCAUGGAGCCGCUGCUGCUUCCUCCCGCGCCGCCCGCCCUCCGGCCGCCGCCCACCCUUGCCCUCAGCGCCGCCGCGCCAUCGCCGGCCCGCGCCCCCAGCCGCCGCCACAGCCGCCUCCUGCGCUCGGCCGCCGCCGCCGCCGCCACAGCCGCAUCCCCUGCGCCGCUCCUCCUCCGGCGGCUCCGGGGCAACGCCGGAAGUCACGGCGCGCACCUGCCAAAUCGCCCCGGCGGGAAACCGCUCCCUACGCGGACGGGCCCGCCUCGGCUCUUUGGCAGGCAGGGGGAGCGCUGGGCUACUCCGCUUUGGGUCUGACACUGGCGCGGUCGCUGGUGAGGCUCGGUGUGGACGGGUUGGGCCGCAUGCCGCCCGACGAUGCGGGGCCAGGGUAGUGUCCAGGUCUCUAACUCUACCUCCGCAGCUCCGAGUCCACUUUAGUAACUAGCUUCCGUCAUCCCUCAACACGCGCUAUUGAGCAUCUCUUGAGCUGCAUCCGGGCCGGCGCCAGCAAGCCGCUAGCGGCAGACAGCAGUGGUCCUGGGCUCGAAUGGAUGCAGAAAAGAGCUAGUCUGGUGGAGGGAUACAAGGGACGAGACGGGCGCGUUUAAUUGGGGUGUUUGCAUAGACGUGAACACAUAGGGCAGGCGGAGCAGAAAGCAGCCACAAAGGCACAAGAGACACUUGGGCAAGACUGCAGGCUGUACAGCAGCACCAGCAGGAGGCGGAACAGCAGCCGCAGGGCGCUGCGAAGAGAGGCGCGCUUGCCAGGGGCGGGGCUGCGUCGGGGGCGGGGCCAGGGUGGGCCCGCCUCUCCGAAUCGCGGACCGGCGAGUUCCGGGCCGCGGCCUGUCUGACCCUACUCGGUACAACAGUUCGGACCGCCCAGGGGCGCGCUGCCGUAAGUUGCCCGCCGACGGGUGGCGUGAAAAGCUAUGGCUACCGCUGCGAUGCUGUGUGCUGCGCGAGCUCUGCGGCCGCGGAGCUGAGCAGAACCACUACGGAAGAAGAAGAAGGUAGAUCCUAAAAAGGACCAAGCAGCAAAGGAUCGCUUGAAAAGGAGGAUUCGAAAACUGGAAAAGGCCAACCAAGAACUAAUUCCCAUUGAAGAUUUUAUCACCCCUGUGAGAUUCUUGG